This 850-nucleotide ribosomal RNA is filed under the name Tephrocybe cf. ozes LIP PAM02082412. Its description in RNAcentral is "eukaryotic LSU rRNA". The stretch from base 313 to 466 matches the Rfam family "5.8S ribosomal RNA". Lineage: Eukaryota; Fungi; Basidiomycota; Agaricomycetes; Agaricales; Lyophyllaceae. The record is from RNAcentral.
UCUUGGUCAUUUAGAGGAAGUAAAAGUCGUAACAAGGUUUCCGUAGGUGAACCUGCGGAAGGAUCAUUAUUGAAUAAACUUGGUUGGGUUGCUGCUGGCUCUUUGGAGCAUGUGCACACCUAGCACCAUUUUUUUACCACCUGUGCACCUUUUGUAGACAUGGAAUAUCUCUCGAGGAAACUCGGUUUGAGGGGCCUGCUGUGCGAAAAAGCCAGCUUUCCCUUGUGUUCCUAGUUUACGUCUUCAUAUACACCCCAUGAAUGUAACAGAAUGUCUUUUAAAUUGGCCUUUGUGCCUUUAUAAAUCAAAUACAACUUUCAACAACGGAUCUCUUGGCUCUCGCAUCGAUGAAGAACGCAGCGAAAUGCGAUAAGUAAUGUGAAUUGCAGAAUUCAGUGAAUCAUCGAAUCUUUGAACGCACCUUGCGCUCCUUGGUAUUCCGAGGAGCAUGCCUGUUUGAGUGUCAUUAAAUUCUCAACCUUUCCUCCUUUUAUUAGCUGGUCAGGCUUGGAUUGUGAGGGUUGCGGGCUUCUCGGAAGUCAGCUCUCUUUAAAUGAAUUAGCGAAACCUUUGUUGAAUUAGCUCUGGUGUGAUAAUUAUCUACGCCAUUGUGAAACAACCUACCAUAGGGUUUGGCUUCUAAUCGUCCUUUGGGACAAGUUUUGACUAUUUGACCUCAAAUCAGGUAGGACUACCCGCUGAACUUAAGCAUAUCAAUAAGCGGAGGAAAAGAAACUAACAAGGAUUCCCCUAGUAACUGCGAGUGAAGCGGGAAAAGCUCAAAUUUAAAAUCUGGUAGUCUUUGGCUGCCCGAGUUGUAAUCUAGAGAAGUGUUAUCCGCGCUGGACCG